RNAcentral lists this long non-coding RNA (1031 nucleotides) under Daucus carota (carrot). Its description in RNAcentral is "long non-coding RNA (DCAR_LNC003591)". Lineage: Eukaryota; Viridiplantae; Streptophyta; Magnoliopsida; Apiales; Apiaceae. The record is from RNAcentral.
AGAAAUAGAAGAUCUCAUUUAUCAAAACUUUUGUAGAAAAGAUAUCAUGAUAAUAUCUCACUGAUGAGAAAACAAUCAAAAGAAUCUUUAGUUGAAGAGAGGUAUUGCCAAGGUCUUCUCAGAUUCCGACUCCACUUCCAUAAAUCAUUGUACGAUAUAUGUCUUCUUUUCAACGUUCUUGAUGAUCAAUCGAUUUGACUCGUAUUAGCCUCGUAAGAUGUCAUCGUAGACGUUAUCGUCCGUAAUAACUCUGGUCCAUGUAGUUUACAUUCUUCUACUUUAUCCCAGUUGCCUUUGAAAUCCAUAGCACAAACACGUAACGUAUCUUCGAUUGUCUGGAUCAUCAACCUGUGGGUUAUGGGCCCACCUUGAUGCCAUUUGAAAUCCCGAUUAGCUCGAAGCGUUGUCGUCGAGGACUAACGUUCUAACUUACUCGUAGACAUCAUCUCUAAUAACUGGACUCAAUUCCACAUACUCUCUAUCAUGCACUUAUUAUCUAUCCACUUCUAUCUACAAAUCUCUCCUUCUAAUUCAGUACAACUCAUAUCUUACACUAACUCUCCAUAUCUCCCUGAAACAACAUACCUCUUCCAAAUAUCUGACAUUGUCAACAUACUAUAACCAUGCAUUUCUAUCAUUCUCAAGUCAAUACAAUAGACCAUUUUCAACUAUGCAGUAUAGUCAGAAUACUCUGAACUCCGCAUUUUCACCAUUCUCAACUCAAUCAUUCACUAUCAAACUCUUCUAUCUAGGUCUAAUCUUGACCUUUCACACAAUUCAUCAUCUCAACUAGUCAACAUACUAGAAAUCAUACGUCUAACUUAGGAAUCCAAAUCUCUCUAACCUUAUACACUCAACUUGAUCGUCUAACCAGAUUCUAUACCUCUAUCACAUCUCUAGACUAUUUCCAAAUAGUCAGACCAUACCUCUAUGUGAGGUUACACAACAUUCCUCAUCAAUAGAACUUAAAACUAUAAUCUAUAUUCUAAUUUCAAAUACUUAUAACCUGUUGCUCUGAUACCAACUGUGAC